Long non-coding RNA from Dreissena polymorpha, 1152 nucleotides. RefSeq lists it as uncharacterized. The record is from RefSeq and is a predicted model, not a curated record. The transcript is spliced from 2 exons. NCBI's taxonomy places the organism in Eukaryota, Metazoa, Mollusca, Bivalvia, Myida, Dreissenidae.
UUUGCCGCUCGUUUAACUCGAGAUACUCAACACCAUUCGAGUCUACACGGAGGCGGACGUCUCCCCACCUAACAAAAUACAAGAAUCUUAAUUUAAUGUCAGAUAUGAACAAUAAUGAAAUACAGCAUUUAAGUUGAAGCGGAUGUACUUAGUGAAUGGGGUGAAAAAAUACUGAGAAAAAUUGAUACAUAUUUUGUGUGUUUGUGUGUAAAAAUGUUUCUUACCGCAAAUUGUAUUGCUCCGUUGUACCUCGCAAGCCAAAAUGAAGGCAGUUGUUCAACCAGACUGUAUUUAACAAGGCUUUCGGAGACUCCGUGCCAAGGAUCCCCUUCUCCCAGAGCAGAUCGAUGUCGGUAUCACUCAGCGGAUGGGCCUCCCUAGGACGGUUUCCCAUACCCUAAAUUGGUGUCCCUUGUGAGUGCAAAUUGGGCUCCAGUCCCUGUCAUGACUGAACAUCCAUAGCGAUGUCGUUUCAGGUACCUGUCAACACUAGCAAUGAUGCCACGGAGGGAGCUUGGUUCAAAAUCUGUGCCAUUUGACUUUUUAAGGGACAACAGGAAAGUGGCCAAAUACUCAUCAAGAAGAGUUGGUUCUAUGUGGUGGAUUUCUUUUGAUUCAGCUUUUGACAUAAGAAACCUUUUAAAUUUGUUUAUGUCAGACAAGGUCUUCGAUACAGUCUUUUUAUUUUCAUUUUGGACAAUGAAAUCACCAACAUCAGUGAGGUUAACAUCUAAGAACUCUUUAUUCUCAUGCAGAUCUAAAGUUGGGGGGAAGACAUUGCUACUGGAUGGUGCGUUACUACUGGGGCUGGUUUCAUUUUCAAUGGUCGAUUCAAUUUCAUUUGUGAACAAAAUAGAUGGAUCAAACCCAUAUUGUUCCUGGAACUGGCUUAGUGUUAAUUCCACUUCAGUUGCUUGUUGCUCAUGUUCAUUAUUUAAUUCAUCCCAAGUUAAUGAGAAAUUGACUUUGUCAAAUUCGUCAGACAUUUUGAGGGGUUUACGAUUUCGCAGACGAUUGUGUUCUAUAGUCAAAGGGGAGCAACUCGAACUGACUUCUUCAAAGGGGAGCAACAACAACAGAACCUAUUUGCAACAUAGUGUUAAAUUUACAUAAUACUAGAGGUUUUAAUAAAAAUAAAUGACAAAAAACACG